Long non-coding RNA from Cercocebus atys (sooty mangabey), 1432 nucleotides. RefSeq lists it as uncharacterized. The record is from RefSeq and is a predicted model, not a curated record. NCBI's taxonomy places the organism in Eukaryota, Metazoa, Chordata, Mammalia, Primates, Cercopithecidae. The transcript is spliced from 2 exons.
AGUCAUGCCACUGCAUUCCAGCCUGGGUGACAGAGCAAAGCCCUAUCUCUAAAAAAUAAAAAUAAAAGGUCACAUUAGAGAGAGUAGUGUUUCAGACAUCUAGGAAUGCUUCAUAGAAAUGUAGAAACAGUUGACUUACGCACACACAUAAGAAAGAAGGCAGGAGGGCAAGAGGUGAAGAGAUAGAGAUAAAUUUACACUGGUGUAAACACAUGCUCCAAACAUGCACACACACACGCACAUGCCAACCAAAUCCCAGCAUUCAUGUGGAAUGUUCCUGGCUGAAGACGUAACAGCUGCAUCUCUGGCCUCCCUUCACCUGCCCCUCCCUUCCCCAGUAGCUUUUUCCCAUGGCCUCUCCUCAGUCCCUUUCACUCCCCCAAAGCAAACCUAGGACUCUGCCCCAGCCACUGAGGCCUUGCCCUGGCCACGAACUCCAGCCCUUAUCCUGGUUCCAUUCUGAGUGUGGGCCGUGCCUCACAUGGGAAUCAGACCGUGUUUCCCUUGCCCGGCCCUCCAGGCCCCAGGGUGCUGUCUCUGCACCUGCACUGCCCUGUCCUCAUCAGACUGGGUUUCCCUUGCCCAGCCCUCCAGGCCCCAGGGUGCUGUCUUUACACCUGCACUGCCCUGUCCUCAUCUCUUGUUUCUGUGCCUCUUGCCCUUAGAGCUCCUUGUGUGUCUUUCAAUGCAUAUACUAGAAUGUCUGUAUGUCUAUGUGAAAUCUUUUUGUGGGAAUGCCUGAAUUUUAUGUGACUUCCUGGUGUCAUCCCUAAGGCCAAGAGUGUUAAUAGUUGGGGUGAGAGAUGGUAGAGUUUUUAUGUUUGGCUUUCCACAUUAUAUAGGUCCUAUGAUAUGUCCCUGAAACUACAAUGUAGCUGAUACACAGGCAUUUUUCUAAGACUAAGUGUUUUUGUGGGUGGACCUCCUGAUUCUCUGCCAUGAGCUAGGCCUGAAAUUUUACAGACCUAGAACUAACUGCAGUCACCUGGACACCAGAGAUCUGUAACUGUCAACUGUAAAGAGGGAGAGAGAGUAUAUUUGCUUCUUUGGGGUUGAAACCAUGCUGACGUAAUAUAAACAGAAUUUGGUCAGCACUGUCAGGCAAACAGUCUGCUCGAUAGGGAAACUCUUGAGAGUCAAAUGGGACUUUUGAAGAAUCUGGACCAAGCUGAACUUCCCUGGCAUUUUCACCCCUACCUCACGCCUCUCCCUGUUCACCCCUGGCUGGCUGGCUGGCUGCAUCCUGGGGAACGCUUCUGCUCCAUUGGGGUACCCUUCCUCCUAUGCAUCUUCUCAGAGAAGUGUAACCAAGACACAUAGAAGAAGCACAGACUGACACCUCCCCCCAUAGUAUGUCUUCUCCACCCUCCAGAGCCUCAUGUUACGCUCCUGUGUCCUUCAGAAUCUCCCCUCCCAGACCCUGCCAUCCCGG